RNAcentral lists this transfer RNA (77 nucleotides) under Pseudomonadota bacterium. Its description in RNAcentral is "Proteobacteria bacterium tRNA-Ile". It matches the Rfam family "tRNA". Rfam says of the family: Transfer RNA (tRNA) molecules are approximately 80 nucleotides in length. Their secondary structure includes four short double-helical elements and three loops (D, anti-codon, and T loops). The record is from RNAcentral. Lineage: Bacteria; Pseudomonadati; Pseudomonadota.
GGGGCCAUAGCUCAGCUGGUUAGAGCAGCGUGCUCAUAACUCGAAGGUCGGAGGUUCAAGUCCUCCUGGCCCCACCA